UGGCUACAGAACGACGCUGGCGGCAUGCCUAACACAUGCAAGUCGAACGAAGGCUUCGGCCUUAGUGGCGCACGGGUGCGUAACGCGUGGGAACCUGCCCCUCGGUUCGGAAUAACAGUUAGAAAUGACUGCUAAUACCGGAUGAUGACUUCGGUCCAAAGAUUUAUCGCCGAGGGAUGGGCCCGCGUAGGAUUAGCUAGUUGGUGGGGUAAAGGCCUACCAAGGCGACGAUCCUUAGCUGGUCUGAGAGGAUGAUCAGCCACACUGGGACUGAGACACGGCCCAGACUCCUACGGGAGGCAGCAGUGGGGAAUAUUGGACAAUGGGCGAAAGCCUGAUCCAGCAAUGCCGCGUGAGUGAUGAAGGCCUUAGGGUUGUAAAGCUCUUUUACCAGGGAUGAUAAUGACAGUACCUGGAGAAUAAGCUCCGGCUAACUCCGUG
This 441-nucleotide ribosomal RNA is filed under the name uncultured bacterium. RNAcentral's name for it is "bacterial SSU rRNA". It matches the Rfam family "Bacterial small subunit ribosomal RNA", at positions 20 to 507 of the family's 1533-position model. The record is from RNAcentral.